AAUGCUCUCUAUGGAAAUUUGCCAUUUAAUUACAUGUAUUCUAUUUUUUUCAGGAAAUCAGUGAAGAGUUUUUUGUUCUAAAUGCUCUUUAUGGAAAUUUGGCUAUUUUUUUUUCUCGCUACAAGAUCCCUGUUUGAAAAAUGUCGCACGUCGUACGAGUUGUCGCACGGUUUUGAUUUUACCGUUUCGAUAUCGAUUGGCCGAAAGGACGACAAACGUGCGACAAACACUCGACAUGCUCGACAUUGUUUUUUCCAUCGAUUUACCUUCAAUUCGACGUCGAUUAUCGUCGACGCAAACAGUUUGACAGUUCUCUUCAGUUGAUCUUGUUCGGACUUGAUCAAAUCAGAAAAACAAUAUUGUUGUAAAGGUUCGUGAGGAUUUUGGCUGGUUGAUUGACUUCCUGAUUUCAGCCUUCGCGACGGUGGAAGAGAACGUGAAACAUCGUUAACCCGGCGGAUCAUGCCGGAAGAUGGGACGGGAAGGAACCGGUCUGCGAUCGAAAGCGGAUUGGGAUCUGUAUCAAACAGUCUCCAAACAGGACAAUGAAAGUGUUGGUGGUGUUUGAUUUUUAGAGAAUGUCAAAAUCGCCAUUAUCAAUACUAAGACCUGGAAAAAAGAACAAACUUGCGGCCGAGUACAACCUCUGAGUGAAAGCGAUGGAGGUGAACGAACUACUCACGGGGCAGCACACGAAUUCUACCGGAUUGGCCAUCAUCAAGCGAAAUUUGGAAAAUUGUGACUGCAGUGAUAGUGAAUAUUUGGAAAACAAAGUGCCAGGCCAGUGAAAACUAAUAGAUAUCAAUAAAAAUCAGCAAAACAACAAAUAAAAUGAAUUUUAUUUCGAAAAUAACCUAAAAAUUCCGAAAUGACAGCACACGACAAUAGCACGACAUCCUAAAUAACAAAACCGUGCGACGUCGGUCGAAUGUCGUACGACAAUGUCGAACAAUUUCGAUGAUCGAUCGCACGACAAAUACGACAUUUUGGUGCAAAAACGUAUGACAUUCGUGCGAAUGUCGCACGACAUUGUCGUGCGACGUCUUACGAUUGCACGUACGACAAACGACGGACGUCGGACGGACUUUUCAGUCAGUGCGUCU
This is a long non-coding RNA of Culex pipiens pallens (northern house mosquito), 1103 nucleotides long. RefSeq lists it as uncharacterized. The record is from RefSeq and is a predicted model, not a curated record. The transcript is spliced from 3 exons. Lineage: Eukaryota; Metazoa; Arthropoda; Insecta; Diptera; Culicidae.